CUCAGUUUGAGCCGGUCCCCCCCUUGCCCCUGCCCUUCUCUCUGGCAGCGUGACGGUACGAACAGGGAGGAUCACAUUUUUCAGCUCGUCCCUUUCUCCAAACUGUUACUGAGAAGGAUGAAGUAUUGCUCCUGAGAUAGAGUGGAGGUUGUUCCCCCACUCUGACUAUGGGACUGAACCACCCUUCCUGUGUAGCAGGAACUCUUCCCACUCUUUGAUCACUGGAGAACCACCACCUGGACCAUGUCUAGAAGUUAUGCCUGAAGGUAUUAUAUCUUAUCUGACCUUUUUUCACUAAAUCUUAUCUGUUGGACAAAUGUAAAAGUCAUGACAUACUUGGAGACCUUGUCCUGUUUGGAACAAUACAGACUUCAUUCUCAAUGGCAUGCACAGAAUCAUAGAAUCAUAAAAUCACCAAAGUUAGAAAAGACCUCCAAGAUCAUCUAGUCCAACCUUAAACAUAUUCCAGUAGCUUUCUGGACGAAGGCAUGCUGACAACUUGGCAGGUCCAGAAGAUGACGAAAUUUACCGUGCCGUGUGCAUUUUCUGUAAAAGUGAUUUUUCCUUAUAUCUUUCUCCUUGUAAUGAUUCUGUUCCCUCUGUGCAAGCCUACACUACAAGGCGUUGCCAGAAAAGAAGCUAAAACCAGCAGCUAAAUCUCUGAGCAGUGUACUUUACUGUAUUUCUGUCUGAGUACAUUAAGGAAUUGUGGAAGUUCUCACUCAGAGUUCUGCUGGAAAGCCCUAAAUCCAAAGUAGAUAAAGUCUGACUUUUUAUCCUACAUUUAGCUGCUAUUAUGAAUUAAAUUGUAGAAGAAAAGGAUGGAUGAGUAGUAAAAAUAGGUGCUUCCUCUGUCGUAUUAGAAAAUGUGAAUUUUUCUAGGAGCAUUUACCUAGCCAAUUGCAGCUGGAAAUAAGCAGUUCAUUGAGAGUAGUAAAUAGGACAUGAUGAUUAUAAUCGAUUCUCAUUGUGAGGAAUGGACAGCAGGUUUAGCCAGCCAUCAGUGUAUUUCAGAGUGGUUAAAUAAUUAUGAAGAACUCAUAUCAUAAAUACUUUUUUUAUCAAAAAUAUCCUAUGGGAACAGUGACCUACAAGGUAGCUGGUUUAUUUUGUGUGUCUUGUUUGUUUGUUUGUUUUCCCAGGGAAAAGAACAAUACAGAAAAACAUACAUUCACAUAUUUUUUUGCAUCUUCUAAGAAGAACCAAAAGCAUUCAAUUAGGUUUUGGUAUUUCUUCAGAAGUAUUUUUUUUACUUCAAACUACUUUUAUCCUACUGAAAUGUACUUUUAUGAUCUCAGUGAAACACUGAGAAACUUUUUACAUCUCAGAUUCUCUACAGAACUCAGAAACACUUCUCUGACUUCAAAUCAGAGUCCAGUCCUAUUCACAUCAGUGAAAAUAGGCUAUUUUAUGUUACUCAAAAAACCUGUGAUCCUGAAAUAGAGAUCAAAUAGGAGUGUGAUAUAAAAUUGAUAACUAAAACCAUGUAAAAUUCUCAGUAAAAGGUUGUAACUGUGGAUUGUUUUAGCUUUCUUAGUAAUUUCAGCACUUCUAAGUGAUUUCUGAAGAAACAAAUGAUGAAUGAAGUUAAUGCCUCGUUUUUCACCCAUUAUAACAAAGAGACCACGAAGAAAGUCUUACAUCUAGAUUCAGCCAUGAUUAAUGAGAAAGAAAAACAAUAAAGGAGGUAGCAGGAUCCAUCACAAUAAAGCCUGCAGUUAAGGCGAUGUCUCAGACUCAAAGACCUGAUUACCUGAACAAGAAUUUGUAAAUUCAGGAUAAGUUAUCAUUUACUUUUUAAUUUAUUUUAGUUCACGAUUUUGCAUGUGUUCUCGUAGUUAAUUUGCAUUAUCUGGAAAUGUUGUGGUACAUUUUCAAACCCAACUGAUGUGACAGUCAUGAAGGUAUAUCUGUGUGCAUUUGUUUAACAGUGCACUGGUCCUUUUCGUCCUUAUUAUUCCAGAAAAACCAGAAACCCACCAAGUAUAAGGGCAUCAGAAUUUAUUACAUUCUUUGCUCCUACUGUUGUCCUUUUCAUAGCAGGUUAACUAUCUGUCUGGUAUACAUAAAGAAAAUUGUAUAAAAUAUGAAGAUACUCAUAGAUGUUCACUGGAACUCUGAUGUACAGGUGUACACACUGGUCUUGUUAUGGUGAUACAAAACUUUAAUUCACACAUUUCUCCAGUCCUGAGUGAUACUGAGAACACCUGACUUGUCAGACUGAAAAUUUGGCACUGCAGUAACACACAUAUUUAUUCCAAAAACAGAACACUGGUAGCUUCGCUGCUAUAAGUAAGCUAAAUCAAAAGAUGAUGGAUAACAUCAGAAAUUUGUGCAUAGAGUUGCACCUAUCAUAUGCUAUCCUCCUUUGUCCCACGGGUUCCAAUACAGAUAUAAUAUGGUUAUAUUCUUUAAUAUGAACACUGGAAAGCCUGUCACAAGAAAAGGCUGAUCAUAUGAUCCCAUAAAAAAUUUAUAACACUACCUGUGGCUAAAUUUAUACGUUUCAUCCACAGGUGAGGAUGUUUCUCAGUGAAACAAAGCAAAGUUCUCCUGGAUGAUGAAAUUAAAUUUGGAUAGGAUCUGCAUCUUGUUUUAAACCUGACAAAAUCUGACCAGUGGAAAUGUUGGACUGUCUGAAGUAUUAAAUGCCCUAUAAAAAUAAAUGACUGUGUUGAAUGCAAGCGGAAGCUUUCUUUGUUGUUGUUGUUUAUCCUUUCCUGUAUCUGUUAAUUCCCUAAUUUGUUCCCUCUCUUGUCUUUUCUCUUUUUCCUCAAAAGAAAAUUUUAAAAUACUUGCUGAGUCUAGAGUAAUUUCAGUUGUGUUCAGUGUCUCCUUUACUUUUCAGUUUUCACCCUUUUUCUUUAUGGCCUGAACCUUGUUUUAGCAUUGAAAUCUGCGUAUCCAAUUAUAGUAAUUUACAAAGUCAUUGACUGCUGUGAAAAGAUUCUCAAGCGAUUAAAAGCCUUCAGAGAUUUAAUUUUUCAUUAUUUUUAUAUAUUCUUAUAUAUAUAUAUAUGUACAUAUACAAAGCAAGUGGGAAGCUUUUUCUUUACUGCAACUGUCAGGGAUACUUGGGAUAAACUUUUUGACAGCCUGUAGUAGAAAUGCCAAGUCCCAGCUUGAAGGAGUGAUUGAGCACCUGGUGGGAGGACAGGGCCAACCCAGGGGAGCUCAGAUGCAAGCAAUGCACCUGAGUGACCUGAAGAUGCGGAACCAGGAUUCACUCCUUCCCAGACCUCAUUUAAGGGUUGGCAGUGGAGGUGAGAGCAUCUCAUCUAGAGAUCUUCUCCUGCCUGAGGUGGUUGUAGAUCUUCUGAAGGUAAGUAGUUUCUCUUAUUUCUGUGCCCACUGGUAUCACAUCUAUGCAGAUGCUCACUUGCUGUGCAGCUGAAGACCUUGCUGCUCUGCUGUCUUGUUAUGCUUUCUAUCCUGUUAGAUAGCUCCAGGAUAAGAACAAGUUAGUACCUAUCAGUCUUCUUCACUUCUCACUCCUGUGGAGGUAUUCACAAGAACCUUACUGAUAAUCUCACUACUGUUUGUACCUGGUCUGUUCUUUCAUGGGUGAUAAUUAUAGAAGGGAUGGGAGAGAAAUAAUAGAAAUAGAAGAACAGGCAUCAACUUGAAUGGCAAUGCUGGUGAAGUAGCAAGGCAAUUUACAGUAUAAGAAGAGAGAAGUGAUUCUACAUAAUAAGGCCAGAAUUGUGCAAAACAAUGUAAGGGAAGAUGAACACAGAAAACAAAAACAAAAACAAACAAAAAAAAAACUAGUAGUGUCAUAGGGAGUCAUUCUAUGUUUUUGGGUUUUGAGCCUUUUCUUUUUUUAAGUACAUACACUAUAGCCUUUAUUACAAGUGUAAAUCUGUUGUAUAAUGAAUACAUGUUCUUGCAUAGUGCCUGUAGUGUGCUGGGCCUGUAAAGAUAGCCCAGUAAGUAUGUUUUCUGUUUACAGGCAUGUAGAAAAAACAUUCACCAUGUCAGAUGCAAAAACUACUAUCUUAUGUUUGUCAGGCAGCGGACAAUUCUGUGGGUAUUGUCUGCCAAAUUUCUUAACGAUUUCCAUUCCAGCAGCAUGCAUAUCCAGGCACAGCUUACCAUUAGACCUGUGCAGAACAACUUGGUAGAGAAUUUUAUUUCCUGGUUUGUGACCUAUUUAAACUUAAAAUGAAGCUUUUUUUUUUUUUUCUUCCCUUCACAUAUACCGAUGCAAUGCAGAAAUAACAGUAAAUUUAACUUUGUUAAAUGUUAUGCAAAUGCAGUGCAUUUUACUUUCACAUUCUGGAAUAAAAGUGCUAUGCUUUAAGCACACAUUUUGCAUAACAAUGUUAAGUUUCAUAUAUUAUCUUAAAAUGCAAAAUAUAUAAAUCUACACAGCUGCAAAAGCAUAAGCAGAACGUAUUACUCUGAUAACAGGAAAACAGAGCCUGAGCAAAGUACAACAUCAGUACAUUAAUCAGGUCCACUGGUAGCUUUGUUUUGGGGAAAAAGAAGCUAACUUUAACUGUUUUGCUUUAACUUUUAAACUAUGUGGAAAUAUUAAGCAAUAAUGCUCUUUAGAAGACAGCAUUUAAUACAUGAAGAUAUUCACAUUUUUAUCAUACUGAGCUAAAAGAAAAGCCAUAAUGUUUUCAAAUUUAUAAUUCUGCAGCUGAGAUAAAACUCCAAAAAUGAUAAUUUUUUCAGUCAGUUAAAAAUAGAAGUUACACUUCAAUAAUCAGAUCCUAAUUCUAAUUUGUCCCUCUUGAAAGACAAAAACCCCCCCAAAUUUUCUUAAUUAAGUAGCCAAAUUUCCAUCAGCAUGAGGAAAGCUUCAGAAGACAAAUUUCUUACCAGCUAUGCACUGAGACGUUCUUGUAGCUCCACUGUGUACAGAACUGGGCAGUGUCAGGCCUGGGGGAGAUACACAGUUGUUGCAGGGUAAAAUAACUAUUUUGUUCAAUAUCCUAAAGAAUGUAAGUUACUUUUUAACACUUCAAAAGGCAAUAGGAUUUGUCCAAGAAAGUGGUGAGAAUCUGUGGGAGUGAAGAGCAAAGCAGUGGGCUUCUAUUCCUUUUCCAUAGACCCCAAGCUGAAGGAAGAGAUCAUGGAUGCUCCUCCAGAGGAUGCUAGGACUGGGCUUUGGGAAAUGAAGCAUUUACUGAAGUUUCAAUCUUUUUCUCAGCUACAUGGGUAAUGAUCAUUCUCUAUCACAAAUAUCUCUCUCUUUUUCGAAUCUUCCUUUCCACAAGAAGAUCAGAACAGUUUCCUGGACUGAGUUCUGGAGCUGCUAUGGGGAAGAAGAAAAAAAAAAGUACAAAGAAAGAAAGAGAGAGGUAGCCUGAACAGUUUCCAUAUCCUCAAUUAAAGAUUACAACUCAAAUCAGGAUUAUUAAAUGCUUGUGUGAAGUUAACAAAAUCAAAAGAAACAUUGUUUUCUUCAUUUCUAAAUUAUUGCAUUCAGCAGAAUGCAGACAAACUACCAGUUGUAGAAAUAGUUUCUCCCACUGUGGGCGGCCUGGCAGGAAAGAUGACUGCAUAACUGUAUAUAAUUAUGAGAUAAAACAAGAGCUGGAGUGUACUGUUUUAUGAUACCUGUAAAUUAUUUUUACUAAAUUGAUUUUAAAGUAUAAUAUUAUACUGUUUGUACAAUAUAGAGAUCUUUGUGAGCUAAUCAAUGUAAAAUAACAUGUAGAUUGGAUAAGAAAAGGGUUAGUUUUAAUUCAAGUUAAAACAAAAAUACUCAAAAUAAAAAAGAAAGAACCUGAGCUCUCUUACUUUGUAGGGCUUCAACACACUAAUUUUAUAUAAUUUUGUGGUGAAAUCACUCAAAGUUUGUUUUACAUAUUCAGGACUAUUAUUUUCCAAGGUACUUGCACUUCUUUAUUGACAAAAGGGUUGGCAAUAGUGUUUUCUGUAGCAUCUGUUGAAAUCCAGGGGACUUCAUUGCUACUGUUCAAAUAACUGUAGAAAAUUCUCCUGUGAGUUUAACUGUAUCUUUGGGUGUCAAAGAACUUUUGCAGAUAUAAUCUUAAAUGACUUGUCUGCGGUAACAUAAGAACUUAGGACAGACUGGUGUAAUUUACCUGUACUCACAAUCAAUCUGUUUCCUACACAUUAGAACAUCUUUUAAAACCUACUGAAUGACUCACCUAUGACUACAUAAGUAGAUAUUCUGGUCGAAAACCAUUAUGAUCCAUUGAUUUAUUACAAGCCUUUAGAAAAUGAUGCUUUGGUUUUGUAAAUGUUCCCUGACAAAUCAAGAAGCACUCCUGGCAGAGAAAAAGGCAGCAUAAUGGCAUUUCCAUAGUAUUAUCUUACUCACCAGGUUUUGCAAAAUAUACAUCGACAUGUGCAAUGUUAUACUUACUAUUCGUGCUGAAAUGAAAACUUUGUUUAGGCAUGUUAUUUACCCUACCUGGAAGAAGGAGAAAAGGUCGAAAUUAAUUAUGCAGAUACUCUGAUAAUAGCAGCAUGAAAAGGUGAAGCACCUGUAUUCUGCUCCAUCACAUCGAGUCCCAGCGUGCCAUAAGUAGAUGAAAGUUUCUCAAAUCAAAUGGUAAGAACUGUGUUAAAAGCUCAUGGAUUUUCCAGUUCACUGUGCAGAUUCUCUUCCCUGAAAAGCAAUUUAGUCCAUACUGGCCUUUAAAAAGCUGUUAUCACUGCCAUGAAUGGUUUGACUAUAUUUAAAGUUAAUAGACAUCUUUCACAAGAACUUUAUCUUAUAGGAAAGCGGAGUGGAGGGACAUAAAAUCAUGAAGGCUUGUGUUGGUGGUGGUGGGUUUUUUUUUGUUUUUUUUUUUUGGAAUGCCAUGUUGGAGCUGGCUGGAACCAGUCGUGUUCAGCACAGGACAGCAUCGUCUUUGCCUCAAGCAGCAGCCCUGUGGUCUCCAUGACACUGAUGUGGCAACUGCACCAUUAAGUACUCAUGUAAGUAUUUCUCUUCUUGAUUUUUGUAGACCAAAUCAGCAAAAUGUGUAGCUAUAAAACUCCAAUUUAUUUCUUAUAACAUGUUCAAGACCUUGCACGAACCCCAGUGUACGCUGCCUUCAUUGUCUGGUAUCUGCUUAUCCUUAAAUACGUUUCCCAAAGCCUGAAUUGCAGACUCCUUCAAAGACUCAGGAAGAGUUUAGAGUUUGAAAAAGAUGUUCUCAGAUGUUCUUUUCACAUGUAGUGUUUUCUUUUUUAAGUCCCUGAGCCCUGCACAUAGAGACAGAAAGUAUGUGUGUGAAAUCUAAUAAUCAGCAAAGUAUAGGACACUUAGAGCUGAAAUGUGAGAGAGACUUGUUUUUGUUUUGUUGCCACCAACUAUGGAAAAUGAAGGGAUAAUAUAUCAUGGAAUAUAACUAUAUGGGAACUGUUAAAUCAUGGCUUGAACCUCUGAUUGAUCACCUGAGGCAAGCACCGAAUCAGCUGUGGGAGCACAGCGUAAGGCAAUUCAGCUGUGUGACUGGAAGGGGUGGAGCCUGGCUGCACCUCUCUUAGACCCCAUUUAAGGGCUGACUACCACUAUGGUAGGCUCUCUUGCUUGCUUGCUCCUCUUGGAGGUUUUCCUCUGAGCCUAUGAUAUGGGUGAGCAUUUUUCAUUUAUUUCUGAUUAUAAUCUUUUUAGCUAUACUAUCUGUGGAUACCAAUCUAACUACACCGCUCUGUGUAUUUGUUGAUUAUACAACAGCAAACGUUUUUCCUAUGCUUCAGACAGGAAUGUGUUUGAGAGGUAUUGGUUUGAGCAGCAUGAUAAAGAACUGAAACUCUUCCCUGGCAGUAUGUGGUGGAGGAGUACAUUUAACUGAUGCUGUCAAGGUAACUUCAGCAAAAUUUUAGGCCUCUUGAGUGCUUUCUUCUCCAUCCCUUCACAUUUGACUAGUGUGGUGCGAAGGCAGCCUGCCUACUGGGGUGUCCUUGGAGCUGGGGUGAUGGCUGCAGUGGAGCCUUCUACUGCUUCUGGGCAGCCUUGUGCCUAUGUGAUAAGUUAUGCCCUGCAGGCUUUUUUUUCUGAGCAUUGCCGGUAUGAAAUGUCCUGCAUAAAAUAAUUUCUGCAGAGUUAUUUAACACUUGUAAUGCAUUUGGAAAGUGGGGAUAGGGGAGGAGGGAUUAAAGCCCCCAAAAUAUAUCACUUAUCUCUUCUGUUCUCCAUUGUGUGGUGAAUGUUGUACUGGAUACCACAUAUAAUGCAAGAAUAGAAUUAGGUUUUGAAAUGCUCUUUUGUCAUGCGUGGGGCUCUAAAGAUCUGUUUUUCCACUGAAGCUUUGCUGUUAGAGCUGUAGAAAUCAUUUCACAAUUCUAUCUAUUCACUACAAUACGUUAAUUCCCUGACUCCUUACUGCACAUUAAACAAUGUGUCCUUAAUUUAGUUGUAGGAGUACACUAGCAAAAUAAUUAAAUUUCUGGAUCAGUCUCUUUGCAUUUUUUUCAUCAGAAUACUUUUUCUACAUUAGAUUUUACAGUGUAGUGACUGUAGCCGCUGGAGCACUUUAUGGGAAGCCUCAUGAAUUGAAUCCCUUGGUUCUAUCCACGGGGGAUGACUAGCAAUGAAGAAGUCUCUGUUCGUUAAAAUAUACUGAACUUCAUUUUCAAGUGCAAUGGCCAAAUAUUUAUUCCUUUCCACAAUUAACAGCUAACCUUUCUCAUUCCCCUCAAAGGGCACCAUCCUUUUAUUUGACUCUGACUUAAUUUUUAUUAUUUCAAAACACUAGUAAUAAAGGUCUUCUUUCUUAUGGGACCAGCUGUCUUUUCCACUGAAUCUUUAAGUGUUUUUGAUUGCUUUUGACUUAUUUGUGAGUUUUGCGUUUUUUUAUUAGAUUGUAAGGAGAUAUCCAUGGCCUGUAUGAAAAUCAGUCAAAAUCCUAAACUAUCUUGCAAAAUGGAGGUUUUUCUCUCUUGAAUGGAAAAAAAAAAAAAAAAAAAGCAACAAAGAACCUGCCUGUGCAAUUUUCAUAAACUGGUACAUAGUUUUACAGAGAAAAUUAACUUUUUUUAAAAGUAGAACUUCAGGAGUCUCACAGAAGCUGGAAUUGUAGAAAACACUAAACUUUCCUCUACUCAUUGUUUUUCUGUGUUUUUGUUUUGUGUUGUCACUUUGUGAAGUAAAACUGUAACAAAAGAGUUAAAUAAAAGAUUGUGUGCUCCAGCUUUCAGAAAAUACAUUAUUUGGUUGACAGCAAAUCUGCCAUUUAUAAUUAACAUCAGAACAGCGGUAAAAACAAAUGUCUGCUUUUCCACCUGAUAAAACUUAUCUUCUGUCUUGUCCUCUUAAGAACUCUUUCAGUGUUUUCUAUCCAUGCACGUAUCCUUCUGAAAUCCCUUUCAGUGAUGUGUUUUGAUCUCUUUAGCCAGUUGAUCCUAUUUUUUUCACAUAAUUUUAAUUUUAUUUAAUUAAACAGUGUCGUCUUAAUUAAGAAAUAAUUAAACUGGAAUUUCAAUUAAAAUACCUAGAUCUUACCUCCUUCUGUCUUUAGUGCUGGAAGACAAUCUGCUGGAACAGCUGUGUGAACCAUAAAACAUAUCUUGUAUUAAGAGGCUAAACUGUUUUAACUGUAAUAAAAGUUAUCUUAGUACUGCAGAUAUCCAGGUUUUUUUUCCUCACUAUCCUCAUUAUCUCUUUUAAAUCUCACAGAGAAAUGAGAAAUCUCUACUUAUAUUCUCC
RNAcentral lists this long non-coding RNA (9622 nucleotides) under Gallus gallus (chicken). The record is from RNAcentral. Lineage: Eukaryota; Metazoa; Chordata; Aves; Galliformes; Phasianidae.